UGUGGGCAGUAUGUCAGCCUUCUCCAGUGUUUCCCUCUCCCUGCUGCCCAGAGCAUAAAUAAAUAAUAAAGAAUAAACAAAAUAUGUGGUGAUCAUCCUGCAUCAGCCUUCACACCCCCCUCCCUGGUCAGGUGGAGGUCAGGAGAACAGUUGGCAUAAACUGCCCGUAAAAUGCUGAGACAGUGGCCAGAUCUUGCAAAUCUUGGAGGGAUGAGUAUAAUGAUGGCAUCUCCAAGAGAGUCCUUCUUCCCACUUCUCCUCACCUGUGCUCUAUAGGUACUAGCUUUUCCAGAGCUGGAGGGAGAUAAAAGGCUCUUUUCCAGCACGAGUACCUCACUGGGUGCUGCAGUUCAGUGCAGUGCUAAGCCUGCUGGGCACGUGGCUGACCAGCCCCAGACAAACUCUUCCCAGUCCUUGGACUACCCUGACAGACAAUCUGCAGCAUCACUUGUACAAAAACAGGAGGAGCAAGUGCUCCCUCCCUGUGCAGCCCCUGACAAAGCCAGGCAAAGCUCCUGGAUCUGCUGACUGAAGAGGUGUGAGGUCAAGCACAGGAGCUGCCCAUCCAGCCAGAUACCUUCUCCAAUAACCUGCUCAGUGGAGGAGGCACCCAGGUCCAACACCAGCUCAUUUGACUUUGCAGGUGAUUUUAUCUCUAUUUCAAAAAGAAAUGACAGCUGUUUUGUUCCUUCACUCCCGCUGAAUACUGUGGCUUAUUCCCAGCAGGUGUGCAGGAGGGAAGAUGGUUUUCCAUGACAGCAAGGCCAGAAGAACUACAGAAACUCUCUCCUCCUAAGCAGCUCACCAGUAACACUGAACAGUCCCAGAAGAGGGAAGCCAGCACGGGGCACCACCUAACGGCCACUGGAUCCCCGGCUUUGCUUCCCUGCAGUUUCCUCCCAGCUGAAAUUACAGCUAGCAGAGAAGAAAUCCAACCGUUCAACUGAGCUACCAGUUACUAAUCCUGAAAUUCGGCAGGACUGAUCAGGGCACCUGACAUUCCACAUCCAUGCACACCCACACGCUCUGAACGCAGGACUGAUCUGCAGGAAGAAAACGAAGCUCCCUGAGCCACGGGACCCUGAUGGCAACGGGCACAAGCAGGGACGGCUCUGGCCCCAGGGGCAGGGCUAGCACAGCAGCCUGAGAGCCGGAGGCCCGUGAUCCGAUAGCACUCUGUCCUAAACACUUUCUGCUUUUGUGGUUGGGCACCUGCAACACCAUGAGCAGCACAGGUCAGAACCCCCUAAUCGUUAGGAUUGUUCACAGAAUCUGUGAUGUCCCCUGAAGACAGUGAAUGUCAAGGACAGGGAGAGAAGAGCACUUCUUGUGCUGUUCUGAAAUCCAAAUACUUGUAGUUUAUCUGUUUCAAGGAGUUGAAUAACUAUAAUUUAUUCAGAUAAGUAUAAUGCCAAUCACAAUAUUUACCAGCAGAAUCUGUUACAAAUACAGGGAGAGUGUGGAGUUAGGAGAGACAGUCUAAAGAGCAAGUUCUAGUAACACACCUAGGAAGAAAUUUAUUCUGUGCACGCUUCCCUUCAGCUUUAGAUAAACCACUGGUUUAUAGCAUGGUCAUGGGAAAUUCAGAGAUUCCUCAUUUUCUGUGGACAUUGGCAAGGCACAAUUCAAAUCCUGCAGGUUUGCCAGCUUGCUAUACACACCUGUACAGGAAAGUUUGCCCCAGUUUAAAG
Molecule: long non-coding RNA, 1691 nt
Filed under: Lonchura striata (white-rumped munia)
Lineage: Eukaryota; Metazoa; Chordata; Aves; Passeriformes; Estrildidae
Description: domestica (Bengalese finch) lncRNA (ENSLSDG00000004311.1)
Source: RNAcentral